GGCGUUAAGUUGCAGGGUAUAGACCCGAAACCCGGUGAUCUAGCCAUGGGCAGGUUGAAGGUUGGGUAACACUAACUGGAGGACCGAACCGACUAAUGUUGAAAAAUUAGCGGAUGACCUGUGGCUGGGGGUGAAAGGCCAAUCAAACCGGGAGAUAGCUGGUUCUCCCCGAAAGCUAUUUAGGUAGCGCCUCGUGAACUCAUCUUCGGGGGUAGAGCACUGUUUCGGCUAGGGGGCCAUCCCGGCUUACCAACCCGAUGCAAACUACGAAUACCGAAGAAUGUUAUCACGGGAGACACACGGCGGGUGCUAACGUCCGUCGUGAAGAGGGAAACAACCCAGACCGCCAGCUAAGGUCCCAAAGUCAUGGUUAAGUGGGAAACGAUGUGGGAAGGCACAGACAGCCAGGAUGUUGGCUUAGAAGCAGCCAUCAUUUAAAGAAAGCGUAAUAGCUCACUGGUCGAGUCGGCCUGCGCGGAAGAUGUAACGGGGCUAAACCAUG
Molecule: ribosomal RNA, 502 nt
Filed under: Enterobacter bugandensis
Lineage: Bacteria; Pseudomonadati; Pseudomonadota; Gammaproteobacteria; Enterobacterales; Enterobacteriaceae
Description: partial 23S ribosomal RNA
Rfam family: Bacterial large subunit ribosomal RNA
Source: RNAcentral